UUUAAGGUCUGACCUGCCCACUGAGGAUUUAAAUGGCCGCGGUAUUUUGACCGUGCAAAGGUAGCAUAAUAAUUAGUUUUUUAAUUGAAAGCUGGAAUGAAUGGUUGGACGAGAAAAUAUCUGUCUUAAUUUAAUUUAAUUAGAAUUUUAUUUUUAAGUAAAAAAGCUUAAAUUUCAUUAAAAGACGAGAAGACCCUAUAGAGUUUUAUAUUUUUUAUUGUUAAUAUUAUUUAGUUGUUUUAUAUUUUGAUGAUUGAAAAUAUUUUGUUGGGGUGAUAGAAAAAUUUAAUAAACUUUUUUUUACUUAUAUUCAUUAAUUAAUGUUUUAUUGAUCCAUUAUUUAUGAUUAAAAGAUUAAAUUACCUUAGGGAUAACAGCGUUAUUAUUUUUGAGAGUUCUUAUCGAAAGAAUAGUUUGCGACCUCGAUGUUGGAUUAAAAUUUAUUUUUGGUGUAGGUGCUAAAAUAUUAGGUCUGUUCGACCUUUAAAAUUUUACAUGAUCUGAGUUUAAACCGGUGUGAGCCAGGUUGGUUUCUAUCUUUAAUUUGUGUUAAAUAUUUUAGUACGAAAGGACCAAGUAUUUGUAAUAUUUAUUUUUAUAUGAUUAUUAUUAAUUA
RNAcentral lists this ribosomal RNA (616 nucleotides) under Maechidius sp. BMNH 670841. RNAcentral's name for it is "partial 16S large subunit ribosomal RNA". It matches the Rfam family "Bacterial large subunit ribosomal RNA", at positions 1844 to 2737 of the family's 2925-position model. Lineage: Eukaryota; Metazoa; Arthropoda; Insecta; Coleoptera; Scarabaeidae. The record is from RNAcentral.